RNAcentral lists this ribosomal RNA (660 nucleotides) under uncultured bacterium. Its description in RNAcentral is "bacterial SSU rRNA". It matches the Rfam family "Bacterial small subunit ribosomal RNA", at positions 94 to 788 of the family's 1533-position model. The record is from RNAcentral.
AGUGGCGGACGGGUGAGUAACGCGUGAGAAUCUGCCUUGGGGUCGGGGACAACCACUGGAAACGGUGGCUAAUACCGGAUAAGCCGAUUGGUGAAAGAUUUAUUGCCCGAAGAGGAGCUCGCGUCUGAUUAGCUAGUUGGUGAGGUAAGAGCUCACCAAGGCAGCGAUCAGUAGCUGGUCUGAGAGGACGAUCAGCCACACUGGGACUGAGACACGGCCCAGACUCCUACGGGAGGCAGCAGUGGGGAAUUUUCCGCAAUGGGCGAAAGCCUGACGGAGCAAGACCGCGUGAGGGAGGAAGGCUCUUGGGUUGUAAACCUCUUUUCUCAGGGAAGAAGCUCUGACGGUACCUGAGGAAUCAGCCUCGGCUAACUCCGUGCCAGCAGCCGCGGUAAUACGGAGGAGGCAAGCGUUAUCCGGAAUUAUUUGGCGUAAAGCGUCCGCAGGUGGCGAUUCAAGUCUGCUGUCAAAGCACGGGGCUUAACUCCGUAAAGGCAGUGGAAACUGAAUAGCUAGAGUGCCGUAGGGGUAGAGGGAAUUCCCGGUGUAGCGGUGAAAUGCGUAGAGAUCGGGAAGAACAUCGGUGGCGAAAGCGCUCUACUGGACGGCAACUGACACUCAGGGACGAAAGCUAGGGGAGCGAAUGGGAUUAGAUACCCC